RNAcentral lists this ribosomal RNA (251 nucleotides) under uncultured Rhizophagus. RNAcentral describes it as "partial 18S ribosomal RNA". Lineage: Eukaryota; Fungi; Glomeromycota; Glomeromycetes; Glomerales; Glomeraceae. The record is from RNAcentral.
CCCAACUAUCCCUAUUAAUCAUUACGUCAAUCCUAGAAACCAACAAAAUAGGAUCGAACGUCCUAUUUCAUUAUUCCAUGCUAAUGUAUUCAAGCGUUAGCCUGCUUUAAACACUCUAAUUUUUUCAAAGUAACAGUCCUGUUUCCCCGCAACACCAAAUUAAUGGCAUUACGGUUCAUCAGGAAGGAGGAACCAGUAAGACCAGUGCAUACCAGAGGCACGACCAGCCUACUAACCCCGAAAUUCAACUA